This 344-nucleotide unclassified non-coding RNA is filed under the name soil metagenome. RNAcentral's name for it is "partial contains 5.8S ribosomal RNA, internal transcribed spacer 2, and large subunit ribosomal RNA". The stretch from base 1 to 119 matches the Rfam family "5.8S ribosomal RNA", at positions 35 to 154 of the family's 154-position model. The record is from RNAcentral.
GAUGAAGAACGUAGCGAAAUGCGAUACGUAAUGUGAAUUGCAAAUUCAGUGAAUCAUCGAGUCUUUGAACGCACAUUGCGCCCCCUGGUAUUCCGGGGGGCAUGCCUGUCCGAGCGUCAUUGCUGCCCUCAAGCACGGCUUGUGUGUUGGGCCCCGUCCUCCGAUUCCGGGGGACGGGCCCGAAAGGCAGCGGCGGCACCGCGUCCGGUCCUCGAGCGUAUGGGGCUUUGUCACCCGCUCUGUAGGCCCGGCCGGCGCUUGCCGAUCAACCCAAAUUUUUAUCCAGGUUGACCUCGGAUCAGGUAGGGAUACCCGCUGAACUUAAGCAUAUAAUAAGCGGAGGA